AUACGGAGGGGACAAGCGUUAUUCGGAAUCACUGGGCGUAAAGGACGCGUAGGCGGGUUAUUAAGUCGGGUGUGAAAUCCAAUGGCUCAACCAUUGAACUGCAUUCGAAACUGAUAACCUAGAGUAUGGAAGGGGCAGGUGGAAUUAGUGGUGUAGGGGUGAAAUCCGUAGAUAUCACUAGGAAUACCGAAAGCGAAGGCGACCUGCUGGGACAUUACUGACGCUGAGGCGUGAAAGCGUGGGGAGCAAACAGGAUUAGAAACCCGAGUAGUCC
This 274-nucleotide ribosomal RNA is filed under the name uncultured bacterium. RNAcentral's name for it is "partial 16S ribosomal RNA". It matches the Rfam family "Bacterial small subunit ribosomal RNA", at positions 523 to 796 of the family's 1533-position model. The record is from RNAcentral.